Molecule: ribosomal RNA, 221 nt
Filed under: uncultured bacterium
Lineage: Bacteria
Description: partial 16S ribosomal RNA
Rfam family: Bacterial small subunit ribosomal RNA
Source: RNAcentral
ACGCUCGACACCUACGGAGGCAGCAGUAGGGAAUCUUCCACAAUGGACGCAAGUCUGAUGGAGCAACGCCGCGUGAGUGAAGAAGGUUUUCGGAUCGUAAAGCUCUGUUGUUGGUGAAGAAGGAUAGAGGUAGUAACUGGCCUUUAUUUGACGGUAAUCAACCAGAAAGUCACGGCUAACUACGUGCAGCAGCCGCGGUAAUCUGAGCGGGCUGGCAAGGC